UUACUCUUAACGGAGGCAGCAGUGGGGAAUAUUGCACAAUGGGCGGAAGCCUGAUGCAGCGACGCCGCGUGAGGGAUGACGGCCUUCGGGUUGUAAACCUCUUUCAGUAGGGAAGAAGCGAAAGUGACGGUACCUGCAGAAGAAGCGCCGGCUAACUACGUGCCAGCAGCCGCGGUAAUACGUAGGGCGCAAGCGUUAUCCGGAAUUAUUGGGCGUAAAGAGCUCGUAGGCGGUUUGUCGCGUCUGCCGUGAAAGUCCGGGGCUCAACUCCGGAUCUGCGGUGGGUACGGGCAGACUAGAGUGAUGUAGGGGAGACUGGAAUUCCUGGUGUAGCGGUGAAAUGCGCAGAUAUCAGGAGGAACACCGAUGGCGAAGGCAGGUCUCUGGGCAUUAACUGACGCUGAGGAGCGAAAGCAUGGGGAGCGAACAGGAUUAGAUACCCUGGUAGUCCAUGCCGUAAACGUUGGGCACUAGGUGUGGGGGACAUUCCACGUUUUCCGCGCCGUAGCUAACGCAUUAAGUGCCCCGCCUGGGGAGUACGGCCGCAAGGCUAAAACUCAAAGGAAUUGACGGGGGCCCGCACAAGCGGCGGAGCAUGCGGAUUAAUUCGAUGCAACGCGAAGAACCUUACCAAGGCUUGACAUGAACCGGUAAGACCUGAAACCACGCCCCCCCCA
Molecule: ribosomal RNA, 677 nt
Filed under: Arthrobacter sp.
Lineage: Bacteria; Bacillati; Actinomycetota; Actinomycetes; Micrococcales; Micrococcaceae
Description: bacterial SSU rRNA
Rfam family: Bacterial small subunit ribosomal RNA
Source: RNAcentral